RNAcentral lists this ribosomal RNA (233 nucleotides) under uncultured bacterium. RNAcentral describes it as "partial 16S ribosomal RNA". It matches the Rfam family "Bacterial small subunit ribosomal RNA", at positions 28 to 262 of the family's 1533-position model. The record is from RNAcentral.
GACGAACGCUGGCGGCGUGCUUAACACAUGCAAGUCGAGCGGUAAGGCCCUUUCGGGGGUACACGAGCGGCGAACGGGUGAGUAACACGUGGGUGACCUGCCCUUAGCUCUGGGAUAAGCCUGGGAAACUGGGUCUAAUACCGGAUAUGACUCCAUGACGCAUGUUGUGGGGUGGAAAGCCUUGUGCGGCUAGGGAUGGGCCCGCGGCCUAUCAGCUUGUUGGUGGGGUGAGG